GUCCCCGUAGCUCAAAUGGAUAGAGCAAGCGUUUCCUAAACGCUGGAUUCCGGUUCAAUUCCGGACGGGGGCACCA
This 76-nucleotide transfer RNA is filed under the name Opitutaceae bacterium. RNAcentral describes it as "tRNA-Arg". It matches the Rfam family "tRNA". Rfam says of the family: Transfer RNA (tRNA) molecules are approximately 80 nucleotides in length. Their secondary structure includes four short double-helical elements and three loops (D, anti-codon, and T loops). Further hydrogen bonds mediate the characteristic L-shaped molecular structure. tRNAs have two regions of fundamental functional importance: the anti-codon, which is responsible for specific mRNA codon recognition, and the 3' end, to which the tRNAs corresponding amino acid is attached (by aminoacyl-tRNA synthetases). tRNAs cope with the degeneracy of the genetic code in two manners: having more than one tRNA (with a specific anti-codon) for a particular amino acid; and 'wobble' base-pairing, i.e. permitting non-standard base-pairing at the 3rd anti-codon position. RNAcentral also lists the same sequence under 2 other names. The record is from RNAcentral. Lineage: Bacteria; Pseudomonadati; Verrucomicrobiota; Opitutia; Opitutales; Opitutaceae.